This is a non-coding RNA of Cinara cedri, 433 nucleotides long. The record is from the annotation of a GenBank genome assembly. Lineage: Eukaryota; Metazoa; Arthropoda; Insecta; Hemiptera; Aphididae.
ACUUUAAUUGUUUAAGCGGAGGUAGCAUUAUAACUUCUGGAGUAAGUAGUGACAAGAUAAAAUUUACGCCUUUAUUGAUCACCUCUACAAAUAAACACUAUUUCUUUCACCCUUAUUAGCGCAUAUGGUAGUAGAUUCAUUNAAUCUUUUGGCAGCAUUCUCCACUGACAACCUCCUUUCAUUAUAUAUCUUAUUGCAUUAAUAAUCGCUCUAAUAUCGUGUUUUCUUGGCCUUCCUAUUGCUCCUUGUGCAACGUAUGGCUCUAGUAUUUCCCAUUCUUUGUCACUUAUGUCACUUGGAUACAUUUUUUUGCCUCUUAAUUCUACAUUUGCUUUAGUAUAUUUAUCUUUUCAUUUCUUUUCAAGACAUCUUCUUAGGUUUGAUAAUUUGCACCAAUUUUAUUAAUCCUUGACCAGUAAUGUUGGGACAAUUG